UUUUCAUUCGUUUUAUUCCCAUAGGUAAACUAUGUUUGUAUGUGUGUAUAUAAUUGUAGAUGGAUGCGAAAUGUGUAAAUGCAAACACAUCGGCAAAUUACCAAACCGAACGUAGCGGUAUAGUGUGUAGCCAAAGAAUAGUUAAAGGCGAAAUAUAUAUAAACUUGUGGUGAGAUCGGUAAAAGGUAGGUAGGUAGGUAUACACACCCGAAAACGAAACUUUCUGUUUACAAACAAACAAAAAAAAGGCAAUAAAAAUGCAAAAAUGGCAUGAGUAAUGCUCAUCUACAUGUAAGCUUACAACAAACAACUACGUGUUUGUAUUUGAAAAUACAUAUGUAUAUAUGUAUGUAUGUAUGUGCCCCAAACAAAGGCCCACAAGUUGCCGCCAUCUAGCGAACGCAAAAAGUUCGUCGUAAACCCCCUAUUGCUAAGUGUUUACACUGCCGCCAAACGCAACUAGCUGACGUUGAGACUUACACGAAGUUGUAGUGCUUGAGACUUUGAAAUUCCAGCGCUUUUCCGCACACAAAGUGCAUGUACAUACAAAUAACAAGUAGGUAUAUACGAUACCCUAAUGAAUGUAGAUAAAUUUAAUGGUUUUAUGAAUACCUGUAAGUUUCGUGUUGUACUGAGGUAGGGAGUGCCGAAUAGUAGGAUGAACCAAAAUAAAUACAUAAAGAAGAAAGAUGUUAUAAGCGAGAACAUUAGUGCAAACACAGCCACAUGUUGCACCAAAUCUAUGGACCCUAUGAAAAUAUAUGCCAUUUAAAAUGAAUGAAUACGCAUUAGGGUCUAUGAUAUAAGAGAAAGCAUAUGAAAUAUAUAUACUCCCAAUAGAGUUUUCCUCCAUAAUUUUCUCGGCCAAAGCCAGCUAAAGAUGUUUUCGUUAACAAAAUAUAACCAAUCUCCUAAAAUCAAAGCAGUCACGAUAUUAGUUUGACUUCAGAUUUGUAUCUUGUUGGCACAACAAUCUUGUAGACCAGUUCUGUAUAAGGUUUAAGUAUAAAAUGUGCAGGGAAUAUGGCUAUAAAACAUACAAUUUUUGUUCUAACCAUAAGCAAACACGUUAAAUUCACAGAUGCAUUUUUUUAAGGCAUGAAAGGGUAUAAAAAGAACUUGAUCUUGAUUUUAGUCGAUCAGUUUGUGUGGCAGCUAUAUGCUAUAGUAGUCCGAUCUGAACAAAUUGGUCGAAGAUUGUAGUGCUGCUUUGGAAAACAAACUGUGCCAAAUUUCGUUAAGGUGCCUUUUCAAAUGAGAAAGUUUUCCAUAAAAGAACUUGAGUUUGAUUUUUGUAGGGGUUAUCAAAUCACCCGGAGUCGGACCAUAGGGAGAAGGGUGUUAGAAGAGUGGGGUUCGUUGGGAAUGCAAAGAGGUGGUUACAAUCAUGCGGGGACUCAUUGCACGCUGGACAUAUGGUUGGUAUGUUGGGUUCGAUUCUGGAUAAGUACGAGUUUAACCUGCUACAAUAUCCAGAAGGAAGUAGCUCAAGGGUCACUCUAGAUUCUCGUGGCAACUCGACUUCUUCGUCUGCAUGGGUAGUGGUUUGACACCAAGUGUCAACGCUACGAGGAUCGUUCUCUCAUAGGGUGGUUUUAGAUUUAGGCCAUGAACUAUCUGGACACUUAUGACACUAAGUGCUGUGAUGGUUCUGUGCACUUUGCGGAAGCCAUGCUAGUGGUCUGCUAGGCUCAGGUGGUGAGUGAACGUCGGGAUUAGCAAAGCCUUAAGCGUAUUCACUACUGGGGAAAGGAGAGUUAUCGGACGAAACGUGGGACUACUCUUCCGACUUUCUACACACCGGGUAUUUGAAAGGUGUUGAUGACCUUGGUUAGAAAGCUUAGUUUCGGCGAGCUUAGAUGCUUUAGCAUCAACAUGUUUAUUCCAUCUCGGCCAAUGGAGUUGGAUGAUUUAACCUUGUCGAUGACACUCCGGACCUCCUUAUGGGUAAAAGUAGGUGGUACGCAGUCUCUUGGCAUUUUGCGCUGCCGUCGGGUAACAUAUCGUUUGGCCUUGUCUGUCGAAGGGUACAGUGUAAACUGCCGCGGGUCCGAGGAGGCAUGACCAUCGAAUUGAAUUUCAACCCGAUCGGAUGUCUCUUCGGAUUUGACAAGGCUUUGAGACCGGUGAAGAGGUUACAGAGCUUAUGCGAGAAUCACAGGGAUGGGCAUGGCGUAAGGUGUCGCGCUCGUUUGCUUAAAACAGUCGGAAUGAAGCGAGCGAUAGCAGCUGCCAUCACCUUGCGGAAUUGACGUUCGCGUCUGCGAGAUAUAAUUUAGAAGGCCUUAAACAAUGGUUUUUUUUUUUGUUCAAUUACAACUAAAGGGGUUUCCAAUAAGAGUGAUAUGAUUUAAAAAAAACACUAACUGUUAAGUAAAUUUAAAGUUUUUUUUUGCCUCCACGACUUCUUUUGCAGGAACGAAUUCGAUGGACUCAAUUUUCGAGUACUUUUUCCACUAAAUCAAGAAUAGGACGUUCAAUAUUGACUUCUAAAGCUUGAAGAGAGUCUGGUUUAUUGCUAAAGACCAAUGACUUCAAAUAACCCCACAAGAAAUAGUAAAAUGAUGUUAAAUCACAACUUUUCCACACAACCAUUCAAUGUCACAAUUUCUUGAAAUUAUCGAAUCUCCAAAGUUUUCUCGCAACAAUUCGAUUGUUGCACGUGCUCAGAUGUUGUCGAAUUCAACUUUUUCCAAUUGCGGAAAAUUGCGGUUAUUGAUCUAUAUCGCUUUCCAUUGACAGUAACGGUAUCACCAGCUUCGUUUCGAAAGAAGUACGGACAGAUGAUUCCACCAGAGCAAAAACCACACCAUACUGUCAAUUUAGGGGAAUGUAAUGGUUGUUCAUGAAGAAUUUGUGGAUUUUCUUUACACCAGAAUCGACAAUUUUGUUUAUUUACCGCACCACUCAGAUGAAAGUGAUCCUUAUCGAAAAAUAUGACUUUCUUAAAAAAAAAAAAUCGUGAUCGUUUUCAAGUUGUUCAAAGGCAAAAUCAGCAAAUUUAUCACGCUUACGGUGGUCCAAUGGCUUCAGUUCUUGAGUGAGAACAACUUUAUAUGGAUGCAAGCUCAAUUCUUUCUCAAAAUCCGACAAAUUGUGAAGGGAGACAGUCCCAAUUCUUGAGAACGUCGGCAAAUUGCCGUCUUCAGCAAGACUUGCCUGAACGGCAGCAAUAUUUUCAAUAUUUCGAACGGUUCUUCGUCUUAUUGAAACUUGAACAUUAUUUAAAGAAAAUGUGCACUCGAAAUGUUCAAAAAUUCGACGAAUAGUGAGCACAGGUGGACGAUUAUACGACCAUAAAAUGCGGUCGAUGUCGCCAUCGAUGAGAUGAUAUUGCACUGUGUUGUGCAGUAUGAAGGCUAAGCCUCGCUCGCGACCCUUACAUAUUACGUUAAAACCUUUUUUUUUUGGACCGCAGCUAACGAUACGCGUUUCCGGCUAAUAAAUUCAGUCUCCCAGUCUUACUCUGAAGUCCGUUGUAGUUAAAUUGUGAAAGUCGAGUUUGUCGCUGGUGUCUAGGGGUGAUCCUGGGAGUGAGGGAGUGGCGUGUAGGUGGUGGUUGUUGCCGCUGUAGAAUCCGCAGGGGCGGUUGCCGCAUUGUGGUGUUGUUUGGCGACGCCACUAUAGAGUAUUGCGUGGGCAGACUGCUGAAGGGCUUGAAUCGGUAAGUUGUAGGUUUUCAAAAAAACAAAGAACUAAUUCGCGUAUAUAGACGACGGACAUGGCUAAAUCGGCUCAUUACGCUGAUCAAUUAUAUAUGUAUAUAUGUAGAUAUAUGCUUUGUGGGGUCUCCGAUGUUUUCAUCAAACUUCGUGGCAAACGUAAUAUACCUUGUGCAGGAUAUAAGAAGGCAUUGAAAUUGAAAAAUAUUUCGAAUAAUCCAUGGAAUCAUAUUAUUCAAGAACAUACGAACCCUAAGGAAAAUACGAGAAUUAUAAAAAAAGAAUUUAAUAUAGACCUACAUGCAUACAUAUAUGUAUAGCUAAAAAUAUGCAUAUACUGAACGUGAUACCCCGCACUCCACAUGUCUAAACAUACUCGAGCAUACGUAAAAUGUAUGCGCCAACGAAGUCAGUUCGGCAACGAACAUACGAACAAAAUAACCAAUAAAACAAAAACAAAAAAAUAUUUUACUAAACAAAAUAUUAAGGUAUGUAGACAUAAACACAUACAUGUAUAUAUAUACAAACACACUAUUUAUGUACUAAGUGAACGUCAGUCACACAACUUUCAUAACAGACCUUGCGACGGUCACCAUUGAUGAUGGCGUCUUGACUUAUCAGCUGAAUAUUCAUUGGAAGCGAUUGAUUGUGCAAGUCCAGAAUAAUAUAUAUUUAUAUAGGUGUAUGUAAGUGCACACAUAGACGUCUGUUUACUUUCAAGCGCACAAAUCUUCUCACAAAAAAUGUUAUGCGGAAUUAAUAUGAAGUCUCUUGGUAUAAGCAUUAAUACAAGUACCUAUGUACCUUGCAAAAACACAAUAAGUUAAAACUUUAAGGAAAACCUGUUUAGAAACAAUGCCGGCAAUUCGCACACAGUGUAUAUGUAUUAAUAAUCACAGCAGUGGAAUCAUAAAGUCAUAUUCAUAUGAGCGAAAAAGCUGCUGGCAUCACUAACUCAUAAAAUUUGGUGCUCUCCAUCAAGUUAGGCACACCGAUUAUUGACUGAAGCUCUUUGGCAAAUCAGUUUGUGAUAAUAAUGAAUAUGUUUAAAUAUUAAUAAUUGUAAUUUACGCAUUCGUUGUUAAUUACAUUUUUGAAUCUACUGACGUCUUUAUAUAUUUGACAAGCUAAAACCUUUCUGACUUAGAGCAAAACAUAUCAACGAUAGUGUAAACACAAAAUUAUAUACAAUAUAAGAAAGUGAUAAUGUUUGUUUUCCAGGUUAUUUUCCGGACCAAUAGAUGGAGCCAUGAUAUGUGAAAUUAUGUAAGAUAAUUUAAUUUAACAGUUCGAAAUGUUGGAGAUUACGAUGGCUAAGCUUAAAGUUCUCUUCCAUAAAUAUCACCGGUAUUCAAAUGUGACCUUACUGAUAAUCAGACAUAAAUAUCCAAUAAUUGUAUUUGUUACUGUAAUGGGAAAUAUUAAUGCUAGGGGACAAUACUAGCGUGGAUGCAAAAAUCAGACUUUUUAAUACCUGACAAAUGAAGAAGUUAGUAGUGCUGCAAACCUGCUUAAGAUACAUAUACAGGGCUACAAUGAACGGUAGUAUUGGUAGUACAAAUAUAUUGUCCAUACCGAGAUAUAAGCAUGAAGUACUCAUACUUUUAAUCAUGAUGUAAACGCGCUCGCCAAAGGUGGUAAGAUGUAGUGCUCAAAUAAAUUAAUCUACUUAUCACAUUUACACUCAUAUUUUAUAUUAAAUGCAUGGUAUUUGCAAAUAAAUUGCAUCGACAUUUUUAUAUAAAAUACAUGAGACGAAAAUCCAGUGAGAGCAAUUUAUAAAAUAAUGGAUACACACACGCUAUAUGCAUCAACUCACCACGAAAGUAAGCAAGCGGCACAAGAAAAUUCACCAUUAAACAUGAAUAGCUGCAUCAACACAAGAGACUUUUGGGUGAAAAAGUUAAAAACGAUGAUGAAAAUAAACGAAAACACGAGAAACGACCAAUAAUCUGGUCAAAAUACAUAUUUACCUAAACAAAAACUAAACCAUUCAUACACUUUCUUAAAUUAUACAAGAAAAACGAAACGAUGAAACAACUUGAUUAUAAAAACAAAUUUGAAAAGAACCAAAACAAAUUGUAUAAUAUUUACAAAUGUCCUUCGAGUAUAGAAAACAUUAAUGAAUUAAGCGCAACAAACAAUUACAUGUGCGCAUUUUGUCG
Bactrocera oleae (olive fruit fly) is the source of this 5827-nucleotide long non-coding RNA. RefSeq lists it as uncharacterized. The record is from RefSeq and is a predicted model, not a curated record. Lineage: Eukaryota; Metazoa; Arthropoda; Insecta; Diptera; Tephritidae.